GGGGAAUGUGUUUCUUUCUGACCAACAGCCUACAGAAAAGUCAUCUAGAUUUAGUUGACAUUUUGCUUUUCGAUGUGAAAAACUGGAAAAGACCACUGCACGUUCGUGGAGGAAAACACAACAUGAAAUCCGAAAUAAAUAAAUAAGCUAUAAAGUGUAUCAGAAACUAUGGUGAUAUCCCAAUCUAAUGUGGUUCUUAACCAUUUAACAUGGCUAUGGGGAAGUAUGAAGAAAAACACCGUCGCUAUGUAUUAUGUACAAUGUCUGUUUAGUAGUGUAAUGAAAUGUGUACGUGUGUAAGGCAAUGGUUGGUAUGGCUUAAACAGAGACGCCACUUUUACAACCGACUCGGCUCGUCUACAUAGGCGUUGAUGUAAUGAUUUAUAUAUUAUAUUUGCCCUUGCUGAAAGUUUUUGUUCAAUGUCACGUCAAAGUUAUUGAAGUGUAAUUGUUUGACAAAUGGAUGAGGGUCAGGUGGGGGGUUCAGUAUAGUAGUGGUGGUUGUGGUGAUAUUGAGGGUUUUAGGGGGUAAAGGGAUCCUAGUCAUGCUGUCUUGCCAGUGGUCUGCUUCGUUUUGACACAGCUCGCUACGUGUUAAGGUCUCUAGCCCCGAGGUGGAGUUUUAGGUGUCUGUAUCGUCCUUGGUUAAAGUCUUGCCAUGGGUUGUGUUUGUUUAUAUCUGAUUGCUGCUCCUUCUUCUGUGCACAUAGAUGGCCACAAAAUGCUUUGUGUGUAGGCUGGCAGGAUACCUCUUCAUGAACCUCUGUCAUGUUAUUUUUUAGAAGAUUUACUGAUGUAUUCGUCAUUGAUAAUGUAUAGCUACAUUUGUCACACAGAUGCAUAUACAGGUGACGUGUAUGUGUAUCACACCCAUGUACAACCACAAAGAUGGCUACAUCCCAACACUGGAUCAGAAUGUGCCAUUAUAUUUGUGUAUAUCACAUAUAUAAAUAUCAUAUUAAUGCUCUUGUCACUUCCACAUACAAUUACACAUGUGCAGGAUCAAAAUGUGCCAUGACUAAAUAAUGCCUGACAAUUUAUUUUUUCUAUGUUUUCAAGGAGAAGCAGUGACAUGUACAGAACAUUUUGGAAUGAUAUGAAAAUAAAAUCUUACUAUGGUACUGCGAUGGCAUUGCAGUUUUAAACUGAUCCACUUGAGUGAACUGCAAUGCAGUCCACUAGUAUCUGCCAAACGACUGGUCUAAGGCCAGUUUUGCAAUUCCCUCGCCUGAUGGGAUUUGGGAAGUGUAAGCUGAUCCUGGAUCUGGUCCUGGAUAGGUCAACAUCGACA
Oncorhynchus tshawytscha (Chinook salmon) is the source of this 1291-nucleotide long non-coding RNA. Lineage: Eukaryota; Metazoa; Chordata; Actinopteri; Salmoniformes; Salmonidae. The record is from Ensembl.